UCUGGUGAUGAUGGCGGAGGGGACACACCCGUUCCCAUGCCGAACACGGCCGUUAAGCC
Molecule: ribosomal RNA, 59 nt
Filed under: Brevibacillus sp. HB1.4B
Lineage: Bacteria; Bacillati; Bacillota; Bacilli; Caryophanales; Paenibacillaceae
Source: RNAcentral